This 236-nucleotide ribosomal RNA is filed under the name uncultured bacterium. Its description in RNAcentral is "partial 16S ribosomal RNA". It matches the Rfam family "Bacterial small subunit ribosomal RNA", at positions 100 to 334 of the family's 1533-position model. The record is from RNAcentral.
CGGCACGGGUGAGUAACACGUAUCCAACCUGCCGUCUACUCUUGGACAGCCUUCUGAAAGGAAGAUUAAUACAAGAUGGCAUCAUGAGUCCACAUGUUCACAUGAUUAAAGGUAUUCCGGUAGACGAUGGGGAUGCGUUCCAUUAGAUAGUAGGCGGGGUAACGGCCCACCUAGUCUUCGAUGGAUAGGGGUUCUGAGAGGAAGGUCCCCCACAUUGGAACUGAGACACGGUCCAA